UCCCAGCUGGCUCAGUUGGCAGGGUAUGUGACUCUUGAUCUCGGGGUCAUGAGUUUGAUCCACAUGUUGGGUA
Molecule: transfer RNA, 73 nt
Filed under: Ailuropoda melanoleuca (giant panda)
Lineage: Eukaryota; Metazoa; Chordata; Mammalia; Carnivora; Ursidae
Rfam family: tRNA
About the family: Transfer RNA (tRNA) molecules are approximately 80 nucleotides in length. Their secondary structure includes four short double-helical elements and three loops (D, anti-codon, and T loops).
Source: Rfam by way of RNAcentral